CAGCAGCCGCGGUAAUACGUAGGUGGCAAGCGUUGUCCGGAAUUAUUGGGCGUAAAGGGCUCGCAGGCGGUUUCUUAAGUCAGAUGUGAAAGCCCCCGGCUCAACCGGGGAGGGUCAUUGGAAACUGGGAAACUUGAGUGCAGAAGAGGAGAGUGGAAUUCCACGUGUAGCGGUGAAAUGCGUAGAGAUGUGGAGGAACACCAGUGGCGAAGGCGACUCUCUGGUCUGUAACUGACGCUGAGGAGCGAAAGCGUGGGGAGGGAGCAGGAUUAGAUACCCCCGUAGUCCCUGUCUCUUAUAC
Molecule: ribosomal RNA, 301 nt
Filed under: uncultured bacterium
Lineage: Bacteria
Description: partial 16S ribosomal RNA
Rfam family: Bacterial small subunit ribosomal RNA
Source: RNAcentral